GCCUGAGAAAUCCCAAAAGGGGCCUCGGCGGCGGGCUCUGGAUCCCGCUGGGGGGCUCUGACCCUGCCAAGUCUGGGCACUCCGCUGCGGGCCUCCUGGCUCCCGGGGUUCAUGGCUGUUAUGGUUCCUGGCUGUCGGGGCUCCUGGCUUUCGGGGCUCCCUGGCUGAAGGGGCUCCUGGCUGUAGGGGCUCCUGGCUAUGGAGGUUCCCGGUUAUAAGGGCUUCUGGAUGUAGUGGAUUCUGGCCGUCGAGGUCCCUGGCUGUCGGGGCUCCUGGCCGUAAUGGCCCCUGGCUGUCGGGACCCCUGGGUGUCGGGGUUCCUGGCUGUCGGGACCCCUGGGUGUCGGGGUUCCUGACUGUAGGGGCUCCUGGGUGUUAGGGUUCCUGGCUAUAGCAGGGGCUCCUGGGUGUCGGGGUUCCUUGCUGUCAGGGCUCCUGGUGGUAGAGGCUUCUUGCUGUUGGCUUCCUGGCUGUCGGGGUGACUGGGUGUCAGGGCUCCUGGUGUUAGGGUUCCUGGCUUCCUGGCUGUAGUAGGGGCUCCUGGGUGUCGGGGUUCCUUGCUGUCAGGGCUCCUGGUGGUAGAGGCUUCUGGCUGUUGGGGUUCCUGGGUGCCAGGGCUCCUGGGUGUCAGGGUUCCUGGCUGUCAGGACACCUGACUCCUGAGGCUCCUGGCUUUUGGGGCUCCAGACCUUCCUUGCACUUCCUGUGUCUCCUGGGUCUGUAAUAGAAGGGGCCGGUGGAGGGGUGGGGGUGAGACAUGUGAGUGAAAGUGAAGUCAGAUGUGUACAUUUAGGAAGCUGAAAUUAUCAAAAAUGAAAUUGCAUAAAGGUGAGGAAGAACUGGGAGGUCUGGGAACAGAAGUGGUAGAUCUUGAACUUCAACACAGACAGGGUGCUUCCAAUUCAGUCCUGGGACCUGAACCCGGAGCCCACAGCAUGUCCCUCCUCCCCUGGCCCUCCGCGCGUGCCGCCACUCAUUGCAGCCCCACAGAGCCAUCACCCAUUGUAACCUCAGAACAGAAGGGGCUGGGUGGGUCCACAGAUCCCUGCACUCCUCCCGUCUUGCCUCCUUGGAUGAUCCCUGGCUUGUCUUUCUCCCUUGGGAAUCCCCCUGAUGUUGGCUCUCCAUGUGGUGUACUCUGUACCCCACACCCCAUGCUUCCCACACACCUUCUGGCCUGAGUAAUCUCCAUGCCCCCAGUGACAUCAACCUCCAGGGAAACCUCAAUAGCAAGCCCAGAACCCUCCCCUGCAUCCCAGAGCCUAGCAUCCACUAACUUUGAGGAGGGGCCAUCUUUUAUUGGAUAUCCCCAAACCACACUGGGCCUUCCCUCCAAAGUGCCUCUCCUCUUGGUUCCCAUCUCAGGGAACACCAUCGCUCCCACCCAGACACUUGGGGCUCCUUCUGACUGGUCCCCCUGCUGUCCCUGGGCUUUGAGGCCAAGCCCCCACAGAGCCUUCCCUACUAGCCAGGUGUUCCCAGGCCUCCUUUGCUUGCUUCUACCGUGGCCUGUCUCAUGUUGUAGAACUGUGCUUGUCCUCCAUUGGCCUGUGUUCUUAAAGGGCAGGAGCUGAUCUGUGUCUCAGUGCCUGGAUCAGAGUCAGACACAUAGGAGGUACUCAGUCCAUGCUAACAGCUGCCAGAGGACUGGGCUCACUGGAUUGCAAAGACUUCGUACGAGAAAAGUAGCAUAUCAUUCAUACUUUUUAUAUUGAUUACAUGUUGAAAUGAGGAUAUUUGGAUAUAUUCGGUUUUCUGAAAUAUAUUAUUUAAAUUGGUCUCUUUUACCUUUGGCUCCUGAGAAAUGUCUAAUUUCAUAGGCAACUUUCAUUCGUGGCCCUUGAAUUUUCUUGGGCAGCACUACUGUGGUGUUUAAAAGCCUUUUGGAGCCUGUCACAUGUAUACCUCACCUGGAGAAAUACAUGGUAUUGAACACGGUAAAUUGUGUUAUUUAAAAUGCAACAGGAGAGUGAUGAGGAACCAUUUUGUAUCUUGCCUGUGGUGGUGAGAACACAAACUAAACAUGAUAAAAUUGUAUAGAACUUGGCUGGGUGCUCUGACUCACACCUGUAAUCCCAACAAUUUGGAAACCCCAGACAGGAGGAUCACUUGAGCCGAGGAGUUGGAGACCAGCCGGGCAACAUAGGAAGACCCGGUCUCUACAAAAAUAUAUAUAUAUAUAUGAGUCAGGCAUGGUGGCUCACACUUGUGGGCCCAGGUAGGUGAGAGGCUGAGGUGAGAAGAUCACUUGAGCCUGGGAGUUGGAGGCUGCAGUGAGCCAUGAUCCUGCCACUGCUACUGCCCACUAACCUGGGCGACAGAGCAAGACCCUGUCUCAAAAACAAAAACAACGCACACACACACACACACGCAUGCACGCGCGCACGAGUACAAGUAAAACUGGGAAAAUCUGAAAAAGAUCAGUCGAUUGUUUAUAAAUAUCAACAUCCUGGUUGCAGUAUUACAGUUUUGCAAGGUGUUGUCAUCGGAAGAAAGUGUACACAGGAUCUGUAUUAUUUCUCACAACUGCAUGUGAAUCUACAGUUGUUUUAAACUAAAAAGUUUAGUUAAAAACCAUGUAAAUAAGACUUUAAAGUUUACUAUGAAAAGAAUGCAAUAGGAGGGAAAAAAGACACCAUGUCAAAAAAAAAGAAAAAGAUACCAUGUCAUAAAACAAGAUACACAUUCUGGUUAUCACUUUUUUUCUUUUCUUUUCUUUGAGAUGGAGUUUUGCUCCUGUUGGCCAGGCUGGAGUGCAAUGGCGUGAUGUCGGCUCACCGCAACCUCCACCUCCCGGGUUCAAGCGAUUCUCCUGCCUCAGCCUCCCAAGUAGCUGGGAUUACAGAACUGACUGGGAGAACCCAGCAAGGCUGGUCUGGUGUUCAGAUUCUUCCUGGCCUCUGUGCAGCCUCCUUCCUUCUGGGUAAAGGAGCAAGACCCUCUGUGGAAUGAGGUCUUAUGAACUACACUCAAGCAAGACGGAAUCUCGUUCUGACGCCCAGGCUGGAGUGGAGUGGCAUGAUCUCGGCUCACUGCAACCUCCGCCUCCCGGGUUCAAGCAAUUCUUCUCCCUCAGCCUCCCAAGCAGCUGGGACUACAGGCGUGUGCCACCACACCUGCAUUUAGCCAUUUAGCCAAGUUCUAUUCCGUCUUGGUGGUGGUGGUGGGGUUCCCAUAGCCUGAAGAAUAAGGGCCUGGGGCUCUGGGCCUGGGGACUGAAGCUUAGGCCUUGGAGACCUGAAGCUCCAGUGGAAGAUGCUUUCCUGGACUUUCCUGGCAGCAAAAAAAACUUCACCUCUUGCCUAUGAAUUGCCUGUAUUUUAAAGGGUGUGUGUGUGUGUGUGUGUGUGUGAGAGAGAGAGAGAGAGAGAGAGAGAAAUUGAGGUGUAAUUAUUUUGCUGGGUGAUGACAACAAACAUUUACUGCUCCUAAACAGGCAAGGAAAUGAUUUAGCCAUGAACUUUUCAUGAUGCCUCAUUCCCUCCUGUGGUCCCGUGGUCCUCAGGCUGCGCAGUGGGAGAAGGGGGGGUGGGGGGCCACAAAUAACCCACGUGGAAAGGAAUGUGGGGUCAGCCUCAGGAAAACUGGGAGGGGAGGUCCCACCUGGUGGGGGUCUUUGUAAACCCUACCAAGGGAAGCCCAGAAACACAAAGAGGUGCAGGGAGAGAAAGAAGGAGGAGGUGUUUUAAAGAGUAAAGCCUGGCAUUAGAAAGUGUUAUUCGAGUAAAAUGGCCAACGUUUCCUUUCUUUUAAGAGCGACUCUUAAAUUCCAAUUACUCCGCCCCCAAAGACCAGUUGAGAAUAACCCCAACUGGAGGGAAUUAAUUUCCUUAGGAAUUUCACUCUUACAAGAUUAAUGGAGCCCCCCUGCAGAGAAACGGUAAAACUGUAAGUACAGUAGAUUUGCACCUGAAGGAUACAUAUUUUAAUUUCUGUUCUCAAGCUGCGAUAACAUCUUCUCCAGCUACUAUAAAAAGCAUAAAUGAGCACCCGCACGUCUGCUGAGAACUUGCAACCCCAGGCUCCCCGGGAGCAGCCCCGCGCCGACCCUCCACGUUGCUCGCCUGGGUGCGGCGUGGGCGCGGGGAUGGGAAGGCGCGGGGAUGGGAAGGCCCAGGGCAAACAGCCUCCCCGCGAGCCGGGUCGACCCAGCCCAGAGCAGAACCCCUGGACCAGAUUAUCUUAAGUCGACCCCUACCCCGCCCCCAGCCCUGUCACCCACCGUGGCACCGCCCUCCCGCGGGGACAAUUGGCCUGGACCAAGAAUGGGGAGCCUGAACAGUGGCCGGUCUCCCACCCGCUCCUCCGGAGCCUGCAGGGGGGUUCAGCCUCUGUCCAGCAGACUUCCUGGCCCCAAGAACGGGCCUUGGGAAGGGGCUCCCCUGACUCCAAGUUGACAGCAGCCCGUCCCUUCUCCUUAGCCCAAGCCACUCUGGCAAUGGGGACCUGCCUCCCUCACGCUAACCAAGGACCGGUCUGGGAUGGGGAGUUGGAGAUGGGCUGUGAGGACUCUUCUCUCAGCCCUUAAGAGUCCAGAACUUAUCUGGGAACACAUCAGCCAAUUUUCUGUUCCCUUUCUUGCCAGGAACUGCUUUUAUUGGAAGAAGUCUAUGUAUAUGCAUGCCAUAAAGGUUGUUUAUGCUGUCAUAGCUAGAUUUUUAUUGGUUGUAUUUUUGCUGCACUUGCUUGAAAAAUAAUUAUUUUCAAAGAAAAGAAGAAUUACAUAUCCAGUAAACUAAAUAAGACUCACUGUUUAUUAGAGACCUCUGACAGCUCCUCAAACACGAAAAAAGAUUUCCAAGUAGUGGAUGGACAAUUUAUGUAAGUAUGUCUUAUCUGAUGGCUUCACAGUAAUCUGGUUUCCCCUAAGAAGCUAAGACUAUCUGGGCUAUUUGAGAUCCUGCAAGAUUUAUCAAGACUGUACUAGCCAUAUGAAAGCAUGUUAACACAGGGAGGGAGAGAGGAAAAGCCCUCCACAUGUUAUGACUGGCAUACAUGCUUCCAAAGCAUCGUUACUAACCGAAGGCCCAGUUCCUGAGGCGAUCACCCCAGACACACUGAAUGCAAUUUGUUGGUCACUGAGUGGGUAUACCUAAUCACCACAGAUGUUUACAUGCAGCUGCAUUUUCUCUCCGUUUGAGUCACAAUGUUUUAUAU
This 5157-nucleotide long non-coding RNA is filed under the name Homo sapiens (human). Its description in RNAcentral is "HSALNT0360691". Lineage: Eukaryota; Metazoa; Chordata; Mammalia; Primates; Hominidae. The record is from RNAcentral.